Molecule: ribosomal RNA, 476 nt
Filed under: uncultured bacterium
Lineage: Bacteria
Description: bacterial SSU rRNA
Rfam family: Bacterial small subunit ribosomal RNA
Source: RNAcentral
GACGAACGCUGGCGGCGUGCCUAACACAUGCAAGUCGAGCGGAGGAUUCGAGAUGUUUACAUCGAAGGAUCCUUAGCGGCGGACGGGUGAGUAACACGUGGGUAACCUGCCUCGGAGUGGGGGAUAGCCUUUCGAAAGGAAGAUUAAUACCGCAUAAGAUUGUAGCGUCACAUGGCGCAGCAAGAAAAGGAGCAAUCCGCUUUGAGAUGGACCCGCGGCGCAUUAGCUAGUUGGUGAGGUAACGGCUCACCAAGGCCACGAUGCGUAGCCGACCUGAGAGGGUGAUCGGCCACAUUGGAACUGAGACACGGUCCAGACUCCUACGGGAGGCAGCAGUGGGGAAUAUUGCACAAUGGGCGAAAGCCUGAUGCAGCAACGCCGCGUGAGUGAUGAAGGCCUUCGGUCGGUAAAGCUCUUUGUAUCAGGGAUGAUAAUGACAGUACCUAGAAAACAAAGACCACGGCUAACUACGUGCC